Molecule: long non-coding RNA, 514 nt
Filed under: Mytilus galloprovincialis (Mediterranean mussel)
Lineage: Eukaryota; Metazoa; Mollusca; Bivalvia; Mytilida; Mytilidae
Source: RNAcentral
CAUUUUCAAGUUUACUAUCCACGGUGGUCACAUAGUUUAUUAAAUAGAGAGGGUCUGUAUACUAUAUCAAUGACCACCAUGGAUCGAUUAGUAAACUUAAAAUUGAAAGUAAAUACACUAUAUUUAUAUAGUAAUGAAUGUUCAUAAUAUACAGAUUUAUAUAAGCGCUAAAAUUAUUCAUGAGAACUUUUGAUACCUUUUCUGAAAUUCUCCAGUUAUUAAAUCUUUUACAAAAUUCAUUGAUUACAAAAAAAGAAGAUGUGGUAUGAUAGCCAUGUUGAGACAACUCUCCACAAGAGACCAAAAUGAUACAGAAAUUAACAACUAUAGUUCACCAUACGACCUUCAACAAUGAGCAAAGCCCAUACCGCAUAAUCAGCUAUAAAAGGCCCUGAACUGACAAGGUAACACAAUCCAAACCAGAAAACUAGCGGCCUUAUUGAUGUACAAAAAAAUGAAUGAAAUACAAAUAUGUAACACAUAAACAAAUGACAACCACUGAAUUACAGGACCC